This is a non-coding RNA of Lolium perenne, 799 nucleotides long. Lineage: Eukaryota; Viridiplantae; Streptophyta; Magnoliopsida; Poales; Poaceae. The record is from RefSeq and is a predicted model, not a curated record.
GUGUAUUUUCAGUUGCUCGAUUACAUGAUAUUGUCAAUCACCAAAUGGAUUUCAUCUUCCAAGGGCAAUCCAUUCAGGACAUAACUAUUGGGCAAAGCCAAGAUCCUAAAGAGGUCAAGAGGCAGAGAGAUAGGGAGUGGUAUGCAAAAACUAAAAGAUGAGAUUUCAGAGCGCAAAUUUUUGAAAAUGGCCUGCUGCCACGGAGGCUUGUGGGGAGAAUACCUUUGGGAAACUCUAUAUGAUUGGUUUUAUUUUAAUUUUUCAAUCUUGAUUAUGAUCUCAAAACAUCGCAGAGAAAUUUGACGUUUCAGAGUGGCCUGGUCACCAUGCAAACUCUGAGUUCUUUGGUAGCCCACGAUGGAUACUAACAGGUUUUAAAAGUGGAACUCAGCAUUUGCAAAUGUGGAUUAACAUGCCCUAGAGAUGCAAAUGGCUGAUGCUUUUGACCGCACUAAUGCCAGCAUCAAUCCCAUUGAAGAACCUCCAACGAAGAAGCUAAAAUCUGAUGGUGGAUCUAACCGCGCUCCAAGAUGAAGCAUGUGUUUGGCUGUAUGACAGAGGGAAGACAAUGAGAGCGUUCAGAGGUCUUCACCUUUACUUCCUUGCUCAAGGAUGAUCUAGGUAGAUUAGACAUCCAGGUCUGAAAUUAAUAAUAAGUAGUGGCAUGCACCCUUGCUCCUCACUAAUGAAAUUUUAAAUUUCAUAAGGGACUGCUGUGUAUAAAUAAAUGUUAAAUUUGUGUUGUCAUCUUUUUAGUGCGUAGAUUGCAAGUUUGUGCAGUACACCAGAGUAAGUAUAA